GAGGAGGACGGACUAUGUGUACAUCAAAAGCUCUGUGUGCUAUAGAGAAAGCUGUCUGGGAGAGAAUAAAAGGCCUCUCCAGUGGUCAUUUAAACAGGCUCAGCUGGGCAUUCAAGCUUUCAUCAGCUUGAGAGAAAGAAAGGGAGACACACAGAGACAAAAAGAUAUUAGGCUUCCGAAUGCAUAUCAAAGUGCUAGAUGUCCACGGAUCAUGAAAGGACCUGUCCAACAGCGACAAGUAAAUACCUGACUUUGGUCAAUAGCAGUAAUUAUUCGUUUUAAAAAAAGUAAACAAUACAAUUAGUUGUUUAUUUUUGUUUUAAAUGCGGUAGUGUGUCAUUUCUCUGCAGUACAGAAUUGUAAAACACUCUCCCUGUCUUCCAAGAUGUGGUCAAACAAAUAGUCCCACCCCAAACUCACGCCAUUGGUUGAGUCGAUGUUGCUAUGUUGGGGUUCUCAAAAACAGCCACAGAGCUGCGUUUCUUAACAGUUGUGUCAUUUACUCAACCUCACAAUGCUGAAAGCUAUAUGACUUUAUUUCUCUGUUCAAACAACAUUAGACCUCAGUGUCUUUCAUCGUGUGCACAUUCUUCAAAAUAUCUUCUUUUGUGUUCUGCAGAAGUAGAGAGUCACAAGUUUGGAACAACAUGAAGGAAUUCUGAAGAUCCAAUUGAAAAUGCACUGCUGUGUCUGUUUUCCUUCUGAUUGUUGUGGACUGCAGAUAGCCAAAUGGAAUGAAGGAGAGAGAGAGAGAGAAACAGUGGAAAAGGAAGAGGUGUGUCGAGGGUCUGAGCAGCGAUGGGAGGCAGGUAGAGGAUAUGAAGCUGUUAAAAAAAAGAUUCAGUGGAUGAAUGAUGAAGGAGACCUGUUGUUGAACACACAUUUAUCCUCAGGCAUAAAAGAAGAGCACCAAAAGAGUGAGAACAAAACCUAUUACCAUCUCUACUGGAGGUGGAAGGAAUAUGGAAUCGUGCUGAAAUACCUCAGGAGGAUAAGGCAGGUCUGAAUCUAAUGACCAUAUCAAGACCCUUUUUAGAGACAAUGAUCUGACCAUUGAGCUGCUUUAUACUUCACCAGUCAUAAUAAAGUGCUCCGCUCUGUCUUGCACUUCCUUUUUUAAUAGUGUUGAAGUUCUGUCCUUUCCCUUUCCUUUUAUUCUUGAUAGCUUUAGGGAAACUGGCCUUUUGGAUUGGCGAGAACUGAAGAGUGUGUCUGUGCAUUGGUUAACCGUGAGCUCUAUGAUUACACAGCGUCUCAUUCUAACAGACAACCGUGACCGAGUCUGUAAUUAAAUAUUCAAUCACUGUAGAGCAGGUGUGGGACUGUAGCAGUUCCACAACAACAGAAAAUGUAGUUCUUUUCCCUACUGUAGUAAACUAGAUUUACUCUUCAGCAUUACUACUGACCACUGAUCUGAAGAGCUACACAAUAGCUGCAAAUUUAUUUGAUGGAUCAAUAUGCUGCACCCUACGUGCCGCUCAGUAGCACACUGGAUUUACGGGUAAAUAAAGCCUGGAACGUCUUUAUGAAAACUGGGCUCUUUGAAAAUAAUACAAAGAAUCCCUGGUGUGUAAAAUUGGAUUUUCCAUAGAGGAUUCGGAGAGAAAUGUAUGUCAAUAUACACGUAUGGAUGAACUCUGAAUCUCACAAUCUUUGCACUGUGCAUGCUGAAUAUACUGUAUAUGACAUGAAGCCAGUGUUGAAAAUGAAUGUUCAAAAUUGUUACUGUGACAACUGUUUUGUUUCUUUCCCCCAAAGCUUUCACUAUCACUUUUUACAGCAGUGAUAUUGUUUUCUGAAUGCAGCGAUAACUCCAAGAAAGACAAAUGCAUCACCUAAGAUAAUCACAUAUACACACUCCCUGUGACAGAGCUCUCUGGCCGCUGCCACAACGUCAGAUCCCACGCCGUCCUUCAUCUACUAUAUGUGAACAAAAACAACAUGCCCUUUGAGCCUGACUGAUAACCGCUCUCCCUGAUACAAUAGCAGAGACAUUCACAAACGUUGCUUGAAUAAGCAGGAACCCAGUGUGUCUGUAGCUUCCUCUUUUUCCGUUUUGAUUGGUGACAGACAGAAAAGGGCCUACUCAAACAAAAUGGAAAAACCAGUCUAAUCUGGUUUGAGACAUCACUAUGAAACUGAUGACAAAACAUAGACACUGCUAUAUUAUAAAUAUCUAAUCACUUAUGAACAAAUAACCUGGAUUUCAUUUUUCUGACAUUUUUCUGGAAUUGCAGUGGUUCUCAGUGGAUCAGAUUCUCCUUCUCCAGAACUUUAGGUCACACUGAAGUUUGUAACUUGUGUUAUUAAUUCAGACCCAAUUGUUUAAUCGCCCAAUUCUUUGUUUUCUAAACCUUUUUUAUUGUAAAAUGUAUACAUUAGAGGAAAUUUAAGAUUUCUUAUUGUGUCUGUCUACACAAUACACAACUUAUUUUGUUAUAUUUACAAAACACUGGAGAAACAGUGUCUAAUUUUAAACCGUUUAAUCGGCACACUGCCCAUAUCCUUCUGUGUUUAUCUGUCUAUAACUGUGUGUGUGUGUGUAAAACCGCAGUUGUUAAGCCCCUCCUAAAAAAAAAAAAAAGAGUAAUCUCCAUACUAAACAACAAAAGGCCUGUUUCAAAUCUUCUCUCGAUAAGCAAAAUCAGCGAGAAAAUUAUAUUUAAACAGUAUGUAUAUAGAUACAUUUUUCAUUUUCAAACUCAUUUUUUUAGAGAAUUUUUAUGCAAAACAUUAUAGGUCACAUUUUUUCCCUUAUUUAUAGUAUAAUGCCAUUUGUAUAUGAAAUGUGCUAUACAUACCAUGUUGUACUAAACUCACAUAUGAACAUAACACAAAAACAGACAGAAACUCUCUGUGCAUAAUGCACACAUAUUUCAGGUAUAAAAAGACCAGUGUUCCCAUGAUCCUCUACAUUUUAAAACAGUAAUUGGAUGGGCCAGGAGAGUUUAAAGAGCAAACAAACUAAACUUGUGAACCACGGUUGUAUUGCAGCUGUUAGAUUUUCUCCUUGACCUUUUCCAGCCAUGUCAUCCACCCUAGUGCUAAUUGGGCUCAGUGUGCUAAUAUGACCUCUCUGAAUGGAAUGGUAACAGUUAAUGGAGAAGCAAAGUAUAACAGCAUGUGCUCAGUUAUUAAUAUAUUUGGAAAAUGUUAGUGCCAUCAAUAUUACUGUGUAGGAAAUAUAAUUUACAAUUUUUAGCUUCCAGACCAUUUUUUACACUAAGUGUUUCUUAUUUCAAUAUAAGUUAUCCAUUACCAGAACCUUGUUAACCAUGACAAUAUUAAAAAGAUAGUUGACCCCAAAAUAAAAACUGUAUUCAGGUACUCACUCUCAUGUAUUCCAAACCUGUAUGACUUCAAUUUUUAUUUUUAUUUAAAU
Cyprinus carpio (common carp) is the source of this 3382-nucleotide long non-coding RNA. RefSeq lists it as uncharacterized. The record is from RefSeq and is a predicted model, not a curated record. The transcript is spliced from 3 exons. NCBI's taxonomy places the organism in Eukaryota, Metazoa, Chordata, Actinopteri, Cypriniformes, Cyprinidae.